UGGUGGAGUGAUUUGUCUGGUUAAUUCCGUUAACGAACGAGACCGCUGCCUGCUAAAUAGUUACGCGAAUGGCUUCUGCCAUUGGCGGAUAACUUCUUAGAGGGACUUUUGGUUGACUAACCAAAGGAAAGGCUAGCGGCAAUAACA
RNAcentral lists this ribosomal RNA (147 nucleotides) under uncultured eukaryote. Its description in RNAcentral is "partial 18S ribosomal RNA". It matches the Rfam family "Eukaryotic small subunit ribosomal RNA", at positions 1299 to 1458 of the family's 1831-position model. The record is from RNAcentral.